UACGUAGGGUGCAAGCGUUGUCCGGAAUUAUUGGGCGUAAAGAGCUCGUAGGCGGUCUGUCGCGUCGGCUGUGAAAACUCGGGGCUCAACCCCGGGCCUGCAGUCGAUACGGGCAGACUAGAGUGCGGUAGGGGAGACUGGAAUUCCUGGUGUAGCGGUGAAAUGCGCAGAUAUCAGGAGGAACACCGGUGGCGAAGGCGGGGUCUCUGGGCCGUAACUGACGCUGAGGAGCGAAAGCGUGGGGAGCGAACAGG
Molecule: ribosomal RNA, 254 nt
Filed under: uncultured bacterium
Lineage: Bacteria
Description: partial 16S ribosomal RNA
Rfam family: Bacterial small subunit ribosomal RNA
Source: RNAcentral